This 253-nucleotide ribosomal RNA is filed under the name uncultured bacterium. RNAcentral's name for it is "partial 16S ribosomal RNA". It matches the Rfam family "Bacterial small subunit ribosomal RNA", at positions 524 to 776 of the family's 1533-position model. The record is from RNAcentral.
UACAGAGGUCCCAAGCGUUGUUCGGAUUUACUGGGCGUAAAGGGUGCGUAGGUGGUUGGGUAAGUCUGAUGUGAAAUCUCCGGGCUCAACCCGGAAAUGGCAUUGGAUACUAUUCGACUAGAGGGUUGGAGGGGGGACUGGAAUACUUGGUGUAGCAGUGAAAUGCGUAGAGAUCCGGAGGAACACCAGUGGCGAAGGCGACACGCUGGGCCGUACCUGACACUGAUGCGCGACAGCAUGGGGAGCAAACAGG